This 252-nucleotide ribosomal RNA is filed under the name uncultured bacterium. RNAcentral's name for it is "partial 16S ribosomal RNA". It matches the Rfam family "Bacterial small subunit ribosomal RNA", at positions 524 to 776 of the family's 1533-position model. The record is from RNAcentral.
UACGUAGGUCCCGAGCGUUGUCCGGAUUUAUUGGGCGUAAAGCGAGCGCAGGUGGUUUAUUAAGUCUGGUGUAAAAGGCAGUGGCUCAACCAUUGAAUGCAUUGGAAACUGGUAGACUUGAGUGCAGGAGAGGAGAGUGGAAUUCCAUGUGUAGCGGUGAAAUGCGUAGAUAUAUGGAGGAACACCGGUGGCGAAAGCGGCUCUCUGGUCUGUAACUGACACUGAGGCUCGAAAGCGUGGGGAGCAAACAGG